AUUGAACGCUGGCGGCAGGCCUAACACAUGCAAGUCGGGCGAGCGGAGGACGGGUGAGUAAUGUAUGGGGAUCCGCCUGAUGGAGGGGGAUAAAUACUGGAAACGGUAGCUAAUACCGCAUACUCUCAGAUGAACCCAUAUGGGAUUAGCUUGUAGGUGAGGUAAGGGCUCACCUAGGCCGCGAUCCCUAGCUGGUCUGAGAGGAUGAUCAGCCACACUGGGACUGAGACACGGCCCAGACUCCUACGGGAGGCAGCAGUGGGGAAUAUUGCACAAUGGGCGCAAGCCUGAUGCAGCCAUGCCGCGUGUAUGAAGAAGGCCUUAGGGUUGUAAAGUACUUUCAGCGGGGAGGCGUUACCCGCAGAAGAAGCACCGGCUAACUCCGUGCCAGCAGCCGCGGUAAUAC
This 406-nucleotide ribosomal RNA is filed under the name uncultured bacterium. RNAcentral's name for it is "partial 16S ribosomal RNA". It matches the Rfam family "Bacterial small subunit ribosomal RNA", at positions 30 to 526 of the family's 1533-position model. The record is from RNAcentral.